Molecule: ribosomal RNA, 1306 nt
Filed under: uncultured bacterium
Lineage: Bacteria
Description: bacterial SSU rRNA
Rfam family: Bacterial small subunit ribosomal RNA
Source: RNAcentral
AACGUACGCUGGCGGCACGCCUAACACAUGCAAGUCGAACGAAGUAGCAAUACUUAGUGGCAGACGGGUGAGUAACAUGUAGGUAUCUGCCCUUUGGCCUGGAAUAACACGAGGAAACUUGUGCUAAUACCGGAUAAGUCUUUACGGAGAAAGCUUUAUGCACCAUUGGAUGAGCCUGCACUUGAUUAGUUUGUUGGUGGGGUAAUGGCCUACCAAGACUGUGAUCAAUAGCUGAUUUGAGAGGAUGAUCAGCCACAUUGGGACUGAGACACGGCCCAAACUCCUACGGGAGGCAGCAGUGGGGAAUCUUGCACAAUGGAGGAAACUCUGAUGCAGCGAUGCCGCGUGAGUGAAGAAGGCCCUUGGGUUGUAAAGCUCUUUCGUCGGGGAAGAAAAUGACUGUACCCGAAUAAGAAGGUCCGGCUAACUUCGUGCCAGCAGCCGCGGUAAUACGAAGGGACCUAGCGUAGUUCGGAAUUACUGGGCUUAAAGAGUUCGUAGGUGGUUGAAAAAGUUAGUGGUGAAAUCCCAGAGCUUAACUCUGGAACUGCCAUUAAAACUUUUCAGCUAGAGUAUGAUAGAGGAAAGCAGAAUUUCUAGUGUAGAGGUGAAAUUCGUAGAUAUUAGAAAGAAUACCAAUUGCGAAGGCAGCUUUCUGGAUCAUUACUGACACUGAGGAACGAAAGCAUGGGUAGCGAAGAGGAUUAGAUACCCUCGUAGUCCAUGCCGUAAACGAUGUGUGUUAGACGUUGGAAAUUUAUUUUCAGUGUCGCAGGGAAACCGAUAAACACACCGCCUGGGGAGUACGACCGCAAGGUUAAAACUCAAAUGAAUUGACGGGGACCCGCACAAGUAGUGGAGCAUGUGGUUUAAUUCGAAGAUACGCGCAGAACCUUACCAACACUUGACAUGUUCGUCGCGACUCUAAGAGAUUAGAGUUUUCGGUUCGGCCGGACGAAACACAGGUGCUGCAUGGCUGUCGUCAGCUCGUGUCGUGAGAUGUUGGGUUAAGUCCCGCAACGAGCGCAGCCCUCACUUUUAGUUGCCAUCAUUAAGUUGGGCACUCUGAAAGAACUGCCAGUGAUAAGCUGGAGGAAGGUGGGGAUGACGUCAAGUCCUCAUGGCCCUUACGUGUUGGGCUACACACGUGCUACAAUGGUAUCUACAACAGGAAGCAAGACUGCGAAGUUAAGCAAAUCCCUAAAAGAUACCUCAGUUCGGAUUGCACUCUGCAACUCGAGUGCAUGAAGCUGGAAUUGCUAGUAAUCGUGGAUCAGCGUGCCACGGUGAAUGCGUUCCCGGGUCU